UACGAAGGGCUAGCGUUGUUCGGAAUUACUGGGCGUAAAGCGCGCGUAGGCGGACCACCAAGUUGGAUGUGAAAUCCCAGGGCUCAACUCUGGAACUGCAUUCAAAACUGUUGGUCUAGAGGCUAGGAGAGGUCAGUGGAAUACCGAGUGUAGAGGUGAAAUUCGUAGAUAUUCGGAGGAACACCAGUGGCGAAGGCGGCUCACUGGCUCGAUACUGACGCUGAGGUGCGAAAGUGUGGGGAGCAAACAGG
Molecule: ribosomal RNA, 251 nt
Filed under: uncultured bacterium
Lineage: Bacteria
Description: partial 16S ribosomal RNA
Rfam family: Bacterial small subunit ribosomal RNA
Source: RNAcentral